Molecule: ribosomal RNA, 227 nt
Filed under: Lacticaseibacillus rhamnosus
Lineage: Bacteria; Bacillati; Bacillota; Bacilli; Lactobacillales; Lactobacillaceae
Description: partial 23S ribosomal RNA
Rfam family: Bacterial large subunit ribosomal RNA
Source: RNAcentral
AUUGCCUGCAAGUGAAUACAUAGCUUGUUGGCGGCAGACGCGGGGAACUGAAACAUCUCAGUACCCGCAGGAAGAGAAAGAAAACUCGAUUCCCAUAGUAGCGGCGAGCGAAGUGGGAAGAGCCCAAACCGAGAAGCUUGCUUCUCGGGGUUGUAGGACUGGACAUUGGAGUUACCAAAGUUCGACGUAGUCGAAGUCAGCUGGAAAGCUGCGCCAUAGAAGGUGAA